ACGAACGCUGGCGGCGUGCUUAACCCAUGCAAGUCGAACGCUGAAGCUCAGCUUGCUGGGUGGAUGAGUGGCGAACGGGUGAGUAACACGUGAGUAACCUGCCCUCUUCUUUGGGAUAACGCCCGGAAACGGGUGCUAAUACUGGAUAUUCACUGAUUCUCGCAUGGGGGUUGGUGGAAAGGUUUUUUCUGGUGGGGGAUGGGCUCGCGGCCUAUCAGCUUGUUGGUGGGGUGAUGGCCUACCAAGGCUUUGACGGGUAGCCGGCCUGAGAGGGUGACCGGUCACAUUGGGACUGAGAUACGGCCCAGACUCCUACGGGAGGCAGCAGUGGGGAAUAUUGCACAAUGGGCGAAAGCCUGAUGCAGCGACGCCGCGUGAGGGAUGGAGGCCUUCGGGUUGUAAACCUCUUUCGCUCAUGGUCAAGCCGCAGCUUUGGGUUGUGGUGAGGGUAGUGGGUAAAGAAGCGCCGGCUAACUACGUG
RNAcentral lists this ribosomal RNA (481 nucleotides) under uncultured bacterium. RNAcentral's name for it is "partial 16S ribosomal RNA". It matches the Rfam family "Bacterial small subunit ribosomal RNA", at positions 29 to 507 of the family's 1533-position model. The record is from RNAcentral.